CUAGCAAGUGAGCUUUUUUCUCUGUACAAUUCUAAAGACUUCAUGCCAACUUAUGCAAACAGAAAUGGUCUUUUUGAUUAUUUUUGUGACUUUUUUUACUAUCUAAGGUCGGUCCUUUAGAUAGUGAGUUUUGGACGUGUCAAAUAGAUGGCGUGAAAGAAUUUUGUAUUGAUAUUGCUUAUGGUGACGGCUCGUUGUCAACACUCAACAGUUCAGCUACAGCUAUUUUCUUCGACAAUUACAAAGGAAUUCUUAUGAAAAAAUGUGUAAGGGACAUGCAGCUUAGUGUCAACUAUUGUGUUAUAAAUCCUAGUAUUCUACUGAAUAUUUCAUCCAAAUGACAGAGAUUCAUCAUAAUUAUCAGCUGAUUUUAUUGCACUUGCAAGAUCACCUAGAAUGGACCAAUCUCUCAUUCCAUCUUCUAGAGAACCUUGAAUAACUGAUUGGUGGUUUUGUGUG
Molecule: long non-coding RNA, 459 nt
Organism: Daphnia pulicaria
Lineage: Eukaryota; Metazoa; Arthropoda; Branchiopoda; Diplostraca; Daphniidae
Exons: 3
Source: RefSeq, a predicted model, not a curated record